GACGAACGCUGGCGGCGUGCUUAACACAUGCAAGUCGAACGGAAAGGCCCUGCUUUUGUGGGGUGCUCGAGUGGCGAACGGGUGAGUAACACGUGAGUAACCUGCCCUUGACUUUGGGAUAACUUCAGGAAACUGGGGCUAAUACCGGAUAGGAGCUCCUGCUGCAUGGUGGGGGUUGGAAAGUUUCGGCGGUUGGGGAUGGACUCGCGGCUUAUCAGCUUGUUGGUGGGGUAGUGGCUUACCAAGGCUUUGACGGGUAGCCGGCCUGAGAGGGUGACCGGCCAAGGGGGGGCGGGGUGGGGGAGCGUGCGACUGGGGGGGGCGGCGGGGGAGAGAGAGGCGGAGGGGGCGGGGGCAGGAGGCGGCGGCGCGGGGUGGGGGAGGACGGCGUGGGGGUCGGACACGGGGCUGACCGGUGAGGAAGCGGGGGGGAUGGUGAGGGGAAAAGAACCCCCGGCAAAAGACGUGCCAGCGGCACGAUAAAAGUAAGAAGAGCACGCGUCUACGC
Molecule: ribosomal RNA, 508 nt
Filed under: uncultured bacterium
Lineage: Bacteria
Description: partial 16S ribosomal RNA
Rfam family: Bacterial small subunit ribosomal RNA (bases 20-329)
Source: RNAcentral